Gasterosteus aculeatus aculeatus (three-spined stickleback) is the source of this 1327-nucleotide long non-coding RNA. Lineage: Eukaryota; Metazoa; Chordata; Actinopteri; Perciformes; Gasterosteidae. The record is from Ensembl.
AAUGACUUGUAGUUGUGCUUCCUGAUUGGCGAGUAUUGAUUGAUGUGGAGUGUGCUCAUGAUGUGGGUGUGUGCAUGGUUGAUGGGAGGCGCUCGAGCUCACAGGGAGUUCACAGCUGCAGAUGCCACCGAUCACACAGUUGGAUAUUUACCAGUACAGACAGUAUCUCCACUUUUAAGAUGACAGCUCAUUUAAAGCUCCCUGUGAAUAAUCAGGACGGUAUCGAGCUUGAGAGAACAGAGGACCAUGAGUCUGACGGCAGCAUCCCUAAGCCAGUCAUGGAUAAUCCACCUCGGAAGAUGGCGGGCAAGCUGGUCAGCGGGGCGUGCAGGCUGAGCACCAUAUCGGAGAAAGAACCGGAAAAGCCGGACACCGAUCCCACUCCCCGUGAUCCCCUGGGUGGCAGCGAAUGGGCUGGAUCAAGCUUCUCCGUUGGUUCUGACAAGUUGAAGAGCAGCAGCAGUGAUUUUUCCUCGGACGACUCGUGCCAGACUGGCGGUGGCGAUGCGUGUGCAGCACUUCUUCUCGCCUGCCUGCAUUGUCGCUUUCACGAAUUCAUGCUUCUGCUAUUGGAUGCGUGUGAGCUGGCCGUGGGUCGCUGCUUUCCCUCGUACAAAUACAUCACGGCCGCCAGCGACCAGCAGGGAAACGACUGCUGCAACUACAACCUGGAGAUGGAUUGCAACUGCUGCGGCUCCUGUCAGGACGCAGGAGAACUCAUCGAGCUGGCCAUGGAGAUGUCAGAGGUCUGCUAUCGCUGAGAGCCUCCUCACCUGUGGGCCCUGCAAGUACAAUGGAAAAAAAGUAAAAAAUCACAAACGUUGUGAAUGUGAAAACCUUGAAUGCUAAACGAAAUUCCCCCAACUGUCUCCUCUCGGUCAAAUCGAUGCCCGGAUUACUUUUCGCAGUGGGUUUGUGCGUGCGGGCCCUCAAGCAGGUACCCGCCGCCACCCCGAUGAAACGCUGCAGAGCCGCUUGUCGCAAGGAAAGAUGGACACGGUCCUUUUGGUGGUUAAAGCCCCACCUCGGCCCGCCGAGGAAGGCCGCCGAAUGCCAACAUCCUGUCUUUUUCGGAGCGGAAAGGGAGGGCAGGUCGGUGUGUUUGUGGAGCCAUGUCCACAUCCGCUCCGCUGACAUCCUGUACGUUUCCGGUGUCUCCCCAUACAGCAUGAACGAGGGAGACGUGCACCACGCCGGGGACGUGGGAGCAUGCUUUCAAAAAGACACCUCCGACCAUUCAAGUGAUCACAGCAUGUAAUCUACAACCAAGGGAACUUAUCAGAUGGUAAAAUGUGAAUGGAAAUGAAUUAUAUUAUGCAUCAAAACG